AACGAUUGUGUCUAUUGCAAAAGAAUUCUAUAUGCCAAUGCGAAGGAGUUACAACACCAUGUGGUUCAAGUGCUAGGAAAAGUUGUGUCGUUUGACAAAACAAACAUUAAUGCGUAUUAUAGCCUAAAGGAUAUGGAGGACGAUGACGAGCUUUCAGACUAUAUUCAAGAGGACCUUGAAUGGGAUGCAUGUGCAGGCCUGGGCAGAGUGGACAUUAAAAGGGACUGAGGAGCUGCAUUUUUCUCAUAAUGAGCUGAGCCGAUAUAGAAAGUAUUGGUACUACUUCCUAUGUGCCAAGCUCAUGCCGACGUCACAUGUUAGCGAUCAAGGUCAUCAAGG
This 339-nucleotide long non-coding RNA is filed under the name Panax ginseng (ginseng). Its description in RNAcentral is "long non-coding RNA (PGIN_LNC006274)". Lineage: Eukaryota; Viridiplantae; Streptophyta; Magnoliopsida; Apiales; Araliaceae. The record is from RNAcentral.